UAUAGUUUGGUGUAUGGAGCACGAAAGUUUUUGAAAUUUUUAGAGAUAGUUCAAUUCUAUUAACUAUAA
This 69-nucleotide transfer RNA is filed under the name Amphinemura sp. FS-2017. Its description in RNAcentral is "tRNA-Gln". It matches the Rfam family "tRNA". From Rfam's summary of the family: Transfer RNA (tRNA) molecules are approximately 80 nucleotides in length. Their secondary structure includes four short double-helical elements and three loops (D, anti-codon, and T loops). Lineage: Eukaryota; Metazoa; Arthropoda; Insecta; Plecoptera; Nemouridae. The record is from RNAcentral.